RNAcentral lists this unclassified non-coding RNA (418 nucleotides) under soil metagenome. RNAcentral describes it as "partial contains 5.8S ribosomal RNA, internal transcribed spacer 2, and large subunit ribosomal RNA". The stretch from base 1 to 120 matches the Rfam family "5.8S ribosomal RNA", at positions 35 to 154 of the family's 154-position model. The record is from RNAcentral.
GAUGAAGAACGCAGCGAAAUGCGAUAAGUAAUGUGAAUUGCAGAAUUCAGUGAAUCAUCGAAUCUUUGAACGCAUCUUGCGCUCCUUGGUAUUCCUUGGAGCAUGCCUGUUUGAGUAUCAUGAGCAAAUCUCAAAGUCAAUUCCUUUUGUUGAUUCAAUUGGUUUUGCUUUGGACUUGGAGGCCUUGCAGAUUUCACAGUCUGCUCCUCUUAAAUGCAUUAGCUGGAUCUCAGUAAUUAUGCUUGGUUCCACUCGGCGUGAUAAGUAUCACUCGCUGAGGACACUGUUAAAAAGGUGGCCAGGAAAAUACUGAUUGAACCGCUUCUAACGGUCUAUUAAGUUAGACAAUUACCCUUAAGUUUGAUCUCAAAUCAGGUAGGACUACCCGCUGAACUUAAGCAUAUCAAUAAACGGAGGA